AACAAUAUGAGCCGAUCGAUGAU
This 23-nucleotide non-coding RNA is filed under the name Arabidopsis thaliana (thale cress). The record is from RNAcentral. Lineage: Eukaryota; Viridiplantae; Streptophyta; Magnoliopsida; Brassicales; Brassicaceae.